UAGGGAAUCUUCGGCAAUGGGGGGAACCCUUACUGAGCAACGCCGCGUGAGUGAAGAAGGUCUUCGGAUCGUAAAGCCCUGUUGUUAAGGAAGAACGAGUGUGAGAAUGGAAAGUUCAUACUGUGACGGUACUUAACCAGCAAGGGACGGCUAACUACGUGCUCGCAGCUGCGUUAAUACGGAGGUCCCGAGCGUUGUCCGGAUUUAUUGGGCGUAAAGCGAGCGCAGGCGGUUAGAUAAGUCUGAAGUUAAAGGCAGUGGCUCAACCAUUGUAGGCUUUGGAAACUGUUUAACUUGAGUGCAGAAGGGGGGGGGGGAAUUCCAUGUGUGGCGGGGAAAUGCGUAGAUAUAGGGAGGAACACCGGUGGCGAAGGCGGCUCUCUGGUCUGUAACUAACGCUAAGGCUCGAAAGCGUGGGGAGCGAACAGG
This 429-nucleotide ribosomal RNA is filed under the name Bacteroidota bacterium. RNAcentral's name for it is "Bacteroidetes bacterium partial 16S ribosomal RNA". It matches the Rfam family "Bacterial small subunit ribosomal RNA", at positions 355 to 776 of the family's 1533-position model. Lineage: Bacteria; Pseudomonadati; Bacteroidota. The record is from RNAcentral.